UUUCAUCAUCAAGAGUUGGGAAGACGCCCAACGCCAACCUGCCGAUCCGGGCAAGGUGGUACUCCGACAGAUGGGGGAUGUGGCCGAACCGGCAACCAAGCGGAACGGA
Molecule: non-coding RNA, 109 nt
Filed under: Roseibium sp. TrichSKD4
Lineage: Bacteria; Pseudomonadati; Pseudomonadota; Alphaproteobacteria; Hyphomicrobiales; Stappiaceae
Also listed under: 1 other name
Description: SAM-I/IV (S-adenosyl methionine) riboswitch aptamer
Rfam family: SAM-I/IV (S-adenosyl methionine) riboswitch aptamer
About the family: It is found upstream of a number of genes which code for proteins involved in methionine or cysteine biosynthesis.
Source: Rfam by way of RNAcentral